UACAGAGGGGGCAAGCGUUAUUCGGAAUUAUUGGGCGUAAAGGGCGCGUAGGCGGUCUCUCAAGUGGAUGGUGAAAUCCCCGGGCUUAACCUGGGAACUGCCGUCCAAACUGAGCGACUUGAGUCCGGGAGAGGUAAGUGGAAUUCCCAGUGUAGCGGUGAAAUGCGUAGAUAUUGGGAGGAACACCAGUGGCGAAGGCGGCUUACUGGACCGGAACUGACGCUGAGGCGCGAAAGCGUGGGGAGCAAACAGG
RNAcentral lists this ribosomal RNA (253 nucleotides) under uncultured bacterium. RNAcentral describes it as "partial 16S ribosomal RNA". It matches the Rfam family "Bacterial small subunit ribosomal RNA", at positions 524 to 776 of the family's 1533-position model. The record is from RNAcentral.